Molecule: small RNA, 98 nt
Filed under: Caldisalinibacter kiritimatiensis
Lineage: Bacteria; Bacillati; Bacillota; Tissierellia; Tissierellales; Thermohalobacteraceae
Description: Clostridioides difficile sRNA included into helicase gene
Rfam family: Clostridioides difficile sRNA included into helicase gene
About the family: This element was identified by RNA deep sequencing of Clostridioides difficile 630 where it is located within gene CD0749 (putative DNA helicase, UvrD/REP type) in the same direction as the gene. A strong transcription start site for this RNA was experimentally confirmed, in the 3' region of gene CD0749. The 3' end of the sRNA has not been confirmed and its length was arbitrarily set to 100nt.
Source: Rfam by way of RNAcentral
AGAGCGUUAACAAGUGAAGAUGACCUAGAGGAAGAAAGAAGACUUUGUUAUGUUGGAAUAACAAGGGCAAAGGAGAAAUUGUAUUUAACAUAUACUAA